AUAGUUACAGUGGAGUUUUCUGUUUGGGAAAUGAGUGAAGAAAAAAACGAAAAAAGGGCGAAAAAAGGGAGAAAAAAGCGAAAAGCGAAGAGUUCGUGUGUAACAUUUACCUUUUUGCCAUCCAGCUCGUGUGUGCCUUGGAUUUGGAAGGAGAUGUAAACAGGAGACGGUUAGCGAGAAGUUCUGCAAAUAUUUACCCAAGCCAGGAGCCAAGUAACUGAACCUGAACCAGCCCUAUCCCGAGACCGAGACCGAGCCCCAGAAUCAGAAUCAGGAAAACAGAAAGAGAAACAGGAGCCCCGCCUCGGCCAAAGUUGAACCUGCCAUCGUCAGUUUAGCACGUGCGCCAAUUAGGCGCUCAAAUUACAUCAAAAUAUUGCCAGCAAAGAGUGGCUUGGGGGGGGCCAAAUGAGCAGUCUAAGGCCCAUGGCCCCAUUCCCCCAUUCCCCAUCCACAAAUGCCCCUUUUUCGAACUGAACUGUUCGAAGGCAGACGCUUACAAGCCAUUACGUAAGGCGCGCCGUCUCUUUCCACGCCAGCUCCGUCUCUCUCUUUCUGUUUCUGUUUCUUUCGUCCGUGUUGUGAUAAACUUAUUCUUGUUAAAUAUUUAAUUAAAAUGCUUAUUAUCUCGCACUGCAUUUUAAUGAGUCUCCCAUGCCAGGGCAACGAAACGAGACAGCCAAAGACAACAAACCAGCUCACAGAUUUUGGGCUGUGGUGGCCCCCCUUUCAAUCCGCUCCCUGCAACCCCCCGCCACCCCCUUGCAACCCCGCCUGUGUGCACGUUUAUGUUUAUUUGAGUUUUGCCACUUGGCAGCAACGCUUAACGACGCCUCGUCUCCUCGCUGCGAAACUCACAACUUCUUUCAGCCCGGCCCAGACACAUGCUCGUAUUUGUCUUGCUCUUUUAAGCCCUCCACUGCUGCCACCACCCCCACCCACCAUCGACCACCCACCAUUCACCGCCCACCAGCCGACGUAAGCCGCCCAAUCUGCACCACCACCCCACUCAAUCCGAGCCCCACUAGAACCGCAAGCACAGACAUGUGGCCCAGAAACCAGGAGCCCCAGCCCAGCACCAGCACCAGGCCCAGUUAACAUGGCCAGGUCCAAGUGGUCAGCUGGCGGUGGAUUAGAACUAAACAACCCAUCUGGCAUACAACUAUGCUUCCAAUUCAGGAGUGUCAUGGUCAAUAUGGAAAUGCU
Molecule: long non-coding RNA, 1206 nt
Organism: Drosophila teissieri
Lineage: Eukaryota; Metazoa; Arthropoda; Insecta; Diptera; Drosophilidae
Exons: 3
Source: RefSeq, a predicted model, not a curated record